Molecule: small nuclear RNA, 102 nt
Organism: Psammomys obesus (fat sand rat)
Lineage: Eukaryota; Metazoa; Chordata; Mammalia; Rodentia; Muridae
Source: RefSeq, a predicted model, not a curated record
GCUCUCUUCAGUAGCACAUAUACUAAAAUUGGAAUGAUACAGAGAAUAUUAGCAUAGCCCCCAUGCAAUGAUGAAGCAUUCCUGAAGCAUUAUAAUAAUCAU